GAGUCGAUUGGAGUCGGAAAAUCGAGGAAAAAGUAUAAUACUUGGUUAAAUUGGAGCAAGUCGAGGUAAGUGACUUGUCUAACCUUGUGUGAGGGAAAUUUCUCCUAGAAUUGAUAUUAAUGUGAUUAUUGAAAUGUGUUGAAAGUCGUGUACACGAGGUGACGAGUGUGUACACGGGCUAAAUGUGAAAGAUUAUAUUUUUAAAUUGUGUAGAUCAUUGUUGCGCAUUUAUUAAAUUAUUUUAUCUUGUUAUAUUCUUCAUCAUUGAUCUGUGAUAUAUAUUUUAAAUUUGUUUGCCUUUUUCCUGCUAAUUAUUUUACCUGUUUAAUUGAAACUUGGUUUCUUUCAUACUGUGCAUUAUUUGAAGGUUGAUUUUCUUUAAAUUAAAUAUUAUUAAUAUACAGUAUUUGACAUUUUUAAUUUUGAUAUUGAAGCAACGUAUUAAAAUUUUGGAAUAUUAUUUUUCUGAAUUAUUUAUUCUUGAAAUAUUGGGCACUUGAGGUAAAAAUUGUGAUAUAUUGUGAUAUUGAUACGCAUGCGGUGGUAUAAGGUCUGGGUGUUAAAACGCAUGCGGUGAGAUAAGGGUGGCUUGAUACGCGUGGCUAGUAGGGGUGACUACUAGAAGUCAUGCGGUGUGAUAAGGGUGGCUAAAAUGCGGGAUGCUAUUUCGGAAAAAAAUAUCUUCUUUAAAUAAAUUGUGAAGGCUCCCACGGUGAUAUAAGAAAAUGAGAUAUUGUGAAAUUAUUUAUAAUUUGGGACUACGAGGCGGUACCUCGGUAGUGCCCUUGUUAAUAUUGAUUUAUGGCCAUAGUUGCCUUCGAUUAAUUGUUGUGAUUUUCAUAAAGUUGAAGGAAAUUCUGUUUUGAUUCCACGAGAUAUUAUUUGCAAUUAUUUGGUGUCAUUAAAUGUGACAUACUAUUUGAUUCAUUUCCAGUGUCAUUUUAUUUUACUAUAUUGUUAAAUAUUUUACCAUUCCAUUAUUAUAUUCCAGUAGGGCCUCACCUGACCUCGUCACUACUUUACCGAGGUUAGGCUUGGCACUUACUGGGUACCGCUGUAGUGUACUCAUACUAUGCUUCUGCACAUCUUUUUGUGCAGAUCCAGGUACAUCCUACCAGCCUAGACGUCAGUGAGUUACCUACGUACGGAGACUUUGAGGUAUAUCUGCCAGCGUCCGCGACUCCGGAGUCCCCUUCUAUCAUUUUAUGUUGCUUCCUUAUAUUUUAUUUAGACCUUGAUAUAUAGAGACAUUGAGAAUAAAUUCUUAGGAGGUUUUGAUUUAUUUCUACCGGGUUUUGGGAGUUGAAAUUGUUUGAAUUGUAGUUUAUUUAUUUCAAAUAUUUAUUAUUAUUCCGCAUUGUUAGGCUUACCUAAUCAACGGCGAAAAAAAAAUUCCCAUCGAGGGUUACGACAGAGAACUGUCUUCGCCGUCGCCGGUAACUCCAUAAUCAACGGUAGGUUCCCGGGCUUUAGCCUUGCGAUUACACAACACCUCCACCACCGGUAACUCUAUUUUUAGCGAAUACUCAUUAGUUAAAUUUUUGUUCCGAUCAAUCCAAGAGGUUUAUACCUAAAUUCCACCGGUUUAGUCUCUUUAGUUCUUUAUCUUAUGCAAUAUUUCUAUUUAUCUUUCCUUAAUUGUUUUACCAUUUUAUUACGAAGUGUCAUAGCAAAAUCUCUUCCCUAAUCACUCAAAAUCAGAAAGUAUUUCUUCCUUUAAAGAACGAAUUUUAGCUGAAGAUUGGGAUACGAAUCUCUUUGGAGAAUCAGUCUAUGUUCAAGAAGUCACCAAAUAGAGUGAUUCCUGCGCAAUCAUCUUCUUCCCGGCGAGGACAGACUAUUUCCCGGUGUGUUCAGAUUGCCGGCAAGUUUCGUAAAUUUCGGCGACUUCCAAACAACUUUCAGGCGAGACACAGCAGGACUUGCCAAUGCUCUUGAGCAGAUCCGACAAGCUUCAGGAAAACUUGCUCCAGGUUCUUUCGUUCUAUAUCUGGUACUCGUGGUAUCGGUAUUUUUAUUGUAUUUUUCUGCCCGCGGGAGUUGGUACCUCCCAUUUUCCAGUUUUCCUUUGUUGUGUGAGUUAAAUUGCUGACAUCUUACCUCGUACUAGUUUAUUUACCAUAUUAGUGUG
Molecule: long non-coding RNA, 2131 nt
Filed under: Nicotiana tabacum (common tobacco)
Lineage: Eukaryota; Viridiplantae; Streptophyta; Magnoliopsida; Solanales; Solanaceae
Description: long non-coding RNA (NTAB_LNC011742)
Source: RNAcentral